This 99-nucleotide ribosomal RNA is filed under the name Klebsiella aerogenes. RNAcentral also lists the same sequence under 1 other name. The record is from RNAcentral. Lineage: Bacteria; Pseudomonadati; Pseudomonadota; Gammaproteobacteria; Enterobacterales; Enterobacteriaceae.
CCUGGCGGCGAUAGCGCGGUGGUCCCACCUGACCCCAUGCCGAACUCAGAAGUGAAACGCCGUAGCGCCGAUGGUAGUGUGGGGUCUCCCCAUGUGAGA